GAGGAAAUGGGCUCCUAUCCCACAAAAUACUUUUCCAGCGCUACACUGGUACAGAACAGACACUUCUGAAAGAUUUAACUGGAAACAGAAUAAUGAAUACACCAACAGACAGGUUUUCCCCUGGACAGAAUUGGGUGGAAAGAAGGAAGAAGAAAAGCCUUUUAUUUCUGCAGGACAUAGCCAAAUGCACAAAAGAGGUACUGUGUGUUCCUGACUUGCUGGGUAGCUGGUUACCUGAUGAGUGCUCAUGGAAGAGAUGA
RNAcentral lists this long non-coding RNA (260 nucleotides) under Junco hyemalis (dark-eyed junco). Its description in RNAcentral is "lncRNA (ENSJHYG00000011792.1)". The record is from RNAcentral. Lineage: Eukaryota; Metazoa; Chordata; Aves; Passeriformes; Passerellidae.